AGUUUUUUUUCCGAUUCAUAUGCAUCACUUCUAGUUGCUGCGGGCGGGGGCUAAAGGAUGUGUAAUUAGACAAGAGAGGAUAUUGAUGGAUUUAAGUCAAUUUCGUUCUACUACUGUUUUGCUGUCACCGUAAUCUCUUAUAAAAACUUCAACAAAAGAACAUUAGAACACAUUACGUAAAAGCUAUAGAAAAUAAAGAAAAGUUAUUUGAUAAAUACUUGACAUGCAAAAUUGAAACAAAUUUCUUAUACUAUUGAGCGUAACAUCAAUACGAAACUCACAAAUAGGUAACUCAAUCUCUUAUAUGAGUAUGUUGCUAAUUAGUUUUCUUUGUAUCUAGUCCACAAUUUCAAAAUGAUGCUUCUUUAAUUCGAUACCCUAUUCUCAUUCUCUAACAACAAAUGUACCCACAAGCAAAGAAAAUUCUUUCACUGGUUAGUGGUUGGAAGCAUGUUAAUCCCCUCCCUCCCCCCAUUUUUGAGCUCCUAGUUGAUUGCUAAAGCCGCCAUCACUAGAGUUGAGCAUCCAAAUCUCCAAAUUAUGCUUCGCAAUACCUAGUGGAGCUCUUUCUCUAUCGAUCUCAUAAUAUUGGAGACUAAAGCAUCUUGCCCCUCAAUGACCAAGAAUCCAUGUCAUGUUUUGUCCAUCAUCCACGUACAUAGACAACACAUACUUUUAAAAUAGAAACCAAAAUCAAGAUUAUCUCUAUCUCUGCUAUUAUUGGUUGUGAGUUUCUAAUUUCCAAGGCUCUCAAAUUUGAAAACGACUCGCAAAUAGAUUAAUUAAUCACAGAGAUUAGUGGUUAGAAAUAGAAAUGUCAUUGACUCCAUAUAUGUAAUGGUGUGGUACGUGUACAUAUUAUUUGUUAUUUGGUAACCAAACUUGGAGUAAAGAUCUUAAUUUCAAUUCUAUCCACACAAAAAAAAGAUCUUUAUUUCAAUUAGCCGCAAGAUCAGAUAUUUCUGAGGACAUUUUUAUAGUGAUCGAGUUUGAGGACAUAGACUAGCAUACAAUUGCUUAGUGUGUUUCAUAUCAAACAACAAAUAAAACAUCUUGCUUUUCAUCCUCCUCACUAGCCGGCCCAUGCAAAUACGUGUAGAAAAGUUUUCAAGUUAUGCUCCCAUAUUUAGCAAAGUUUUAAUUAAGCAUGGUUAGACCCAUUUUAAGCAUGAUUGUCAUCCCCUCCAAACUUUAAUAUAUUGUUUUAUGCGCUAGUAGCCCUAACUAAUUGCAUAUUACGGCAUAGGAAUUCUUCUGGCAAAAAGAAAAUAAAAACGACUAAAUUUA
This 1287-nucleotide long non-coding RNA is filed under the name Fragaria vesca (wild strawberry). Its description in RNAcentral is "long non-coding RNA (FVES_LNC001425)". The record is from RNAcentral. Lineage: Eukaryota; Viridiplantae; Streptophyta; Magnoliopsida; Rosales; Rosaceae.